GCCCGGGUGGUCUAGUGGUAUGAUUCUCGCUUAGGGAGAGCUCAAUGAGUUCUAGCAACCCAAGCAUAUCUGCGAGAGGUCCCGCGUUCGAUCCGCGGCUCGGGCC
This 106-nucleotide transfer RNA is filed under the name Aspergillus wentii. RNAcentral's name for it is "tRNA-Pro". RNAcentral also lists the same sequence under 1 other name. The record is from RNAcentral. Lineage: Eukaryota; Fungi; Ascomycota; Eurotiomycetes; Eurotiales; Aspergillaceae.